GCUUUGGAUCAGGUCCCAGAGGAUGUCAGAGCUCUGCCAGCCCUACUGAAAAACUGUAGUCCAAAUGCUGGCGUGCUAUUUGGCAAGCCACAACCAUAAGGUUAAGCAGAGGUUGCCAGAUGUAUCCUCCAUGGAGAGAAUCCUGGUGUUGCUUCCAAGAAGACCCAAAGGACAUGCAAUCUGGUGGUAGUGAAUUAUUCAAGAAGAUGCCACUAACAUUUUAAAGAGGCUGGCAUCCUUGCCUGGAGCUGACAGAAGGACCCAGACAGCUUGACGUGUUCAAGUAAAGCAAAAAAUAUGUCAGUCAGGAACAGUGGCAGUUCCGAAGCAGCUGUGUGACCCUUCAACACCCUCCCGUGUGAGGCUAGAAGGGGUGAAAGAGCCCUGCUUUAUUCCGUUGCCACAUCCAAGUUAAUAUCCUGAUACUUCAAAAUUUGGCUAUGAACAGCUUCUAAUUCAAGCUGGCUGUCCUCAGCAACAAAGAAAAAUGUAAAUGCACACUGAUGGUUAUGUAGUGCGCUGUUUUAGACAAUG
Manacus vitellinus (golden-collared manakin) is the source of this 534-nucleotide long non-coding RNA. RefSeq lists it as uncharacterized. The transcript has 3 exons. NCBI's taxonomy places the organism in Eukaryota, Metazoa, Chordata, Aves, Passeriformes, Pipridae. The record is from RefSeq and is a predicted model, not a curated record.